This 260-nucleotide ribosomal RNA is filed under the name uncultured archaeon. Its description in RNAcentral is "partial 16S ribosomal RNA". It matches the Rfam family "Archaeal small subunit ribosomal RNA", at positions 748 to 1012 of the family's 1478-position model. The record is from RNAcentral.
UAGCCGUAAACGAUACUCGCUAGGUGUCGGCCACGGUGCGACCGUUGUCGGUGCCGUAGGGAAGCCGUGAAGCGAGCCACCUGGGAAGUACGGCCGCAAGGCUGAAACUUAAAGGAAUUGGCGGGGGAGCACAACAACGGGUGGAGCUUGCGGUUUAAUUGGAUUCAACGCCGGAAAUCUUACCGGGACCGACAGCAACAUGAAGGCCAAGCUGAAGACUUUGCCGGAUUAGCUGAGAGGAGGUGCAUGGCGUAGCGUGU